RNAcentral lists this long non-coding RNA (1098 nucleotides) under Serinus canaria (Common canary). Its description in RNAcentral is "lncRNA (ENSSCAG00000006827.1)". The record is from RNAcentral. Lineage: Eukaryota; Metazoa; Chordata; Aves; Passeriformes; Fringillidae.
AUGCUUCCCUCCAUUUUCCCCCUCACAGUUCCCACAUUUUUCCCCUCACAGUUUCUGCCAUUCUGCCCUCAUGUUUCCCCUCCAUUUUCCCCCAUAUUUCCCAUCAUUUCCCCCUCACGGUUCCUUCCAUUUUUCCCUCAUGGUUCUUCUAUUUUUCCCCUCACAGUUCCCACUUUUUCUCCCUCAAAUUUCUGCCCUUUCCCCCUCACAUUUCCCACCACUUUUCCCUCACAGUUCCUACCAUUUUCUCUCUCACUCUUCCCAAUUUUUUCCUCUCAAUGUUUCUGCCCUUUUCCCCUCACAUUUCCCACCAUUUCCCCCUCACNNNNNNNNNNNNNNNNNNNNCUCCUCACUCUUCCCUCCAUUUUCCCCUCAUAUUUCCCACCUUUCCCCCCUCCUGUUUCCCUCUAUUUUCCCUCACAUUUCCCUCCAUUUUCCCCUCACGUUUCCCUCCAUCUUUCCCUCACAUUUCCCUCCAUUUUCCCCUCAUAUUUCCCAUCAUUUCCCCCUCACGGNNNNNNNNNNNNNNNNNNNNGCUGUGGGUGGGGUGUUCGGGGUGUUUUAAACCGCGGGGGUCGGUGCUGGGGGGCAGCAGAGCUGGGUGGGGGCGAACACCCUACAAAUUACUUCGGUUUUGCCUUUUCCCCCUUGUGUUUCCUGCCCUUUUUCCCUUCACUUUUCCCACCCUUUUCCCCCUCACAUUUCCUGCCUUUUUCCCUUCAGAUCUCCCUCUUUUUCCCCUCAUGUUUCCCUCCACUUUCCCCUCAGAUUUCCUGCCCUUUUCCCCUCCCGUUUCCCUCCAUUUUCCCCUCACAUUUCCUGCCCUUUUUCCCCUCACGUUUCCUGCCCUUUUUCCCCUCACGUUUCCUGCCCUUUUCCCCUCAUGUUUCCCUCCAUUUUCCCCUCACAUUUCCCUCCAUUUUCCCCUCACAUUUCCCUCCAUUUUCCCCUCACGUUUCCCUCCACUUUCCCCUCACAUUUCCCUCCAUUUUCCCCUCACAUUUCCUGCCCUUUUCCCCUCACGUUUCCCAUCCUUUUCUCCCCUCACCAUUCCCGCCUUUUUUCUCCCUCACAUUUCCUGCACUUUCCCCCUCAUAA